CUUUAAAGGAUCCAAGU
RNAcentral lists this transfer RNA (17 nucleotides) under Egernia depressa. RNAcentral describes it as "partial tRNA-Leu". RNAcentral also lists the same sequence under 1 other name. The record is from RNAcentral. Lineage: Eukaryota; Metazoa; Chordata; Lepidosauria; Squamata; Scincidae.